AUGUUUGUGGGUGUGUUUUUUGUGAUAUUGUUCCUCUCAAAAUCAAUUGUUUUGAUGUCCAUGAACAUUGUAUUUCCUUUUGUUUUAAAUGUGAUUUUUUUGAUGAUCUUUCUAUUCACCGAUAUAGUUUACAUGGUUCAGAUAAAAUUGUGGUUAUUUCAAGGCAGGAAAAUGAGUCAUCCGGUCGUGCACCCGAUGGAGGUGGAGGUUCAGGCGGGCCAGCAGCCGCAGGUUAGAAUGGAUGACGUGCCAGGCAAGCCUGGCACGCUUUGCGGCCUUGGAUUGCGGUGUGCUCAGUUCAUCUGCGCUUCCAUCACGCUCUCUGUGAUGGCGAACACUCACUUCAGGCCCUUUCCUUCCUUUCGCUUUGUCAUCGCAGCUGUUGGUUUGUUGUUCUUGUGGAGCCUAGUACUGGCCCUGUUGGACAUCUACGCGCUACUUGCCAAGCGUCAUUUACGACACCCUCUGCUGAGUCGGCUUUUCUCCGUCGGAGAUGGGAUCACAGCAGUAACUAUGUACAGCGCAGCCUGCAUGUCAGGUGCUGUUUCCAGGUUCUUCAGCGACAGUGAGCUGUGCACAGCAAACCACUGUGUUAGCUACGUGAUUGCUAUAGCAUUUGCGUUCUUAGGUUGUGUUGCAAUUUCCCCAUCUUUUGUGCUGAACCUUAGUUCGUGGAUGGCAGCUUUGCCCCAUUAG
This 696-nucleotide ribosomal RNA is filed under the name Triticum aestivum (bread wheat). RNAcentral's name for it is "partial small subunit ribosomal RNA". Lineage: Eukaryota; Viridiplantae; Streptophyta; Magnoliopsida; Poales; Poaceae. The record is from RNAcentral.